AUGGAAACCCAUGAGCCUUGUGGUCAUCGUCUCGGCGACAGGGUUGAUGGAGAGCAGCAGCACGUCGUCUCCUGGAGCGAUAUCAUUGGUGUGAUAGGCCGUAGCCUUUCCAUCAAAUGCCUCCUGCGGCUGUCCAGGUCAGACUAUGGCUCCGUGGCGUGUCUGAACCAAGACUUCAAUUCGCUGGUCCGCAGUGGGGAGAUCUACCGCCUGCAUCGGAACAAUGGCGUAGAGGAGUACUGGCUCUACUUCUCCCGCAACCCUCUGCAGUGGGAUGCUUACGACCCACACUGCGGACGCUGGAUCGAAGUGCCCAGGAUGCCACAAGACGAAUGCUUCAUGUGCUCCGACAAGGAGUCCCUCGCUGUCGGAACCGAGCUACUGGUGUUUGGGAUGGCACACAUUGUAUACAAAUAUAGCAUCCUAACAAAUUCAUGGACACGGGCUGGUCCGAUGAACUCACCGCUUUGCCUAUUUGGGUCGACAAGUGCUGGUGAAAAGGCAUAUGUCGCGGGGGGGAUCGAUUCGCUUGGAAGGAAACUGAGUGCCGCGGAGAUGUACAACUCUGAGACACAUGCAUGGACACCCCUUCCUUGCAUGAAUGAGGCUAGGAUGAUGUGUUCUGGCGCGUUCAUGGAUGGCAAGUUUUAUGUGAUCGGUGGUGUUACCAACAACAACAAGGUACUGAAAUGUGGUGAGGAAUAUGACUUGGAGCGGGGGUCUUGGAGGGUCAUCGAGAACAUGUGUGAGGGCGUCCACGGAAUGGCCGGUGCUCCUCCACUCAUCGCCGGUGCUACUCCACUCAUUGUCGUUGUCAACAAUCAGCUUUAUGCAGCUAAUUACAACGACAAGGAUGUGAAGAGGUAUGACAAGCUGAAUAAUAGGUGGAUCGCUCUUGGAAAAUUGCCUGAACAUUGCGUGUCAAAGGAUGGUUGGGGCAUUGCUUUCCGAGCGUGUGGUGACCGGCUGAUUGUCAUUGGAGGUCCUAGGACUUAUACUGGUGGCACGAUUGAGAUUCAUUCAUGGAUCCCGGAUGAUCAACAACCGCCUGUGUGGAAUUUGGUUGCUAAACGGUCAUCCAAGAGCUUCCUUUAUAACUUGGCCAUGAUGGGUUGCUGA
RNAcentral lists this ribosomal RNA (1119 nucleotides) under Triticum aestivum (bread wheat). Its description in RNAcentral is "partial small subunit ribosomal RNA". The record is from RNAcentral. Lineage: Eukaryota; Viridiplantae; Streptophyta; Magnoliopsida; Poales; Poaceae.